This 445-nucleotide ribosomal RNA is filed under the name uncultured bacterium. RNAcentral's name for it is "partial 16S ribosomal RNA". It matches the Rfam family "Bacterial small subunit ribosomal RNA", at positions 354 to 796 of the family's 1533-position model. The record is from RNAcentral.
GUGGGGAAUUUUGGACAAUGGGCGCAAGCCUGAUCCAGCCAUGCCGCGUGCAGGAAGACGCAUCUAUGGUGUGUAAACUGCUUUUGUACGGGAAGAAACACUCCCUCGUGAGGGAGCUUGACGGUACCGUAAGAAUAAGGAUCGGCUAACUCCGUGCCAGCAGCCGCGGUAAUACGGAGGAUCCAAGCGUUAUCCGGAAUCAUUGGGUUUAAAGGGUCCGUAGGCGGUUUAAUAAGUCAGUGGUGAAAGCCCAUCGCUCAACGAUGGAACGGCCAUUGAUACUGUUAGACUUGAAUUACAAGGAAGUAACUAGAAUAUGUAGUGUAGCGGUGAAAUGCUUAGAUAUUACAUGGAAUACCAAUUGCGAAGGCAGGUUACUACUUGUGGAUUGACGCUGAUGGACGAAAGCGUGGGGAGCGAACAGGAUUAGAUACCCGUGUAGUCC